GACGAACGCUGGCGGCGUGCUUAACACAUGCAAGUCGAACGGCAAGGCCCUGCUUUUUUGGGGUUCCCGAGUGGCGAACGGGUGAGUAACACGUGAAUAACCUGCCCUUGACUUUGGGAUAACUUCAGGAAAGUGGGGCUAAUACCGGAUAGGAGCUCCUGCUCCAUUGUGGGGGUUGGAAAGUCUCUGCGGUUGGGGAUGGAUUAGCGGCUUAUGGGCUUGUUGGUGGGGUAGUGGCUUACCAAGGCUUUGACGGGUACGCGGCAUGGGAGGGUGGACGGCGACAUGGGUACUGCGAGAGGGCGCAGUCGGGAACGGGGGGCAGCAGGGGGGAAUAUGGCACAACGGGAGCAAGCCUGUGACGGAGACGCCGCGGGCGGGAAGACGGUCUGCGGGGAAAGAAACGCAUUAGCCUGAGACGAAGCGGUAGUGACGGUAAUGAGUAAAGAAGCACCGGCUAACUACGUG
Molecule: ribosomal RNA, 468 nt
Filed under: uncultured bacterium
Lineage: Bacteria
Description: partial 16S ribosomal RNA
Rfam family: Bacterial small subunit ribosomal RNA
Source: RNAcentral